CCCUUAGAUGUUCUGGCCGCACGCGCGCUACACUGAUGCAUUCAACGAGUCCAACCUUGACCGAGAGGUCCGGGUAAUCUUUGAAACUGCAUCGUGAUGGGGCUAGAUUAUUGCAAUUAUUAAUCUUCAACGAGGAAUGCCUAGUAAGCGUGAUUCAUCAAAUCGCGUUGAUUACGUCCCUGCCCUUUGUACACACCGCCCGUCGCUCCUACCGAUUGAGUGUGUUGGUGAGGAGUUUGGAUUGGCCUCGGAAGGUGGUUCGCCACCGUCCGUAGCUGAGAAGUUCUCCAAACCGCCCCACUUAGAGGAAGGAGAAGUCGUAACA
Molecule: ribosomal RNA, 325 nt
Filed under: uncultured eukaryote
Lineage: Eukaryota
Description: partial 18S ribosomal RNA
Rfam family: Eukaryotic small subunit ribosomal RNA
Source: RNAcentral